CGCACGGGUGAGUAACACGUAUCCAACCUGCCGUCUACUCUUGGACAGCCUUCUGAAAGGGAAGAUUAAUACAAGAUGGCAUCAUGAGUCCGCAUGUUCACAUGAUUAAAGGUAUUCCGGUAGACGAUGGGGAUGCGUUCCAUUAGGCAGUUGGUGGGGUAACGGCCCACCAAACCGACGAUGGAUAGGGGUUCUGAGAGGAAGGUCCCCCACAUUGGUACUGAGACACGGACCAAACUCCUACGGGAGGCAGCAUG
This 257-nucleotide ribosomal RNA is filed under the name uncultured bacterium. Its description in RNAcentral is "partial 16S ribosomal RNA". It matches the Rfam family "Bacterial small subunit ribosomal RNA", at positions 99 to 353 of the family's 1533-position model. The record is from RNAcentral.